Molecule: long non-coding RNA, 1011 nt
Organism: Lathyrus oleraceus (garden pea)
Lineage: Eukaryota; Viridiplantae; Streptophyta; Magnoliopsida; Fabales; Fabaceae
Exons: 5
Source: RefSeq, a predicted model, not a curated record
CUCCAUACUGCAAAACAACUUUGGCCAUGCUUGUAUUACAAACUCUAACUCCCUUUCAAUUCCUUCACGAUCUCUCAACGGCAAACACGAGCAAGGCCGAAACCGGAUCUACCAAACCUAUUCGUUCCGCACUUUCGUUUUCCAAUGAAGCCAUGAGAAACCUCAAAUCCGGAACCAUCAUCAUCCAAAUUCCAGAUUAAAAUCCAAAUCGAUGGAGAGCAGAUGAAGAACAAGGUGUCGAGGUUUAAUCGAUUUCUGAAAUCAACAUCUAUAUCUAAAUCGGUUCAUUAUUGUGCGCGCCAAAUCGAAAGACGAAACGAGGCGAACGACACAAUGAACCGUGACGCAACGAAUCAGGGAUCGCGAGGAGUUGUGGAAGAGAAUUUACCGGACUUCGUGGUGCGAACAGAAUUGUCGUCGAGUUCUAUUGGUGUGGUUCCCUUUCCUUCUUUCGAAGCCUCCUGCUACCGUGCGUAUUGAAUCGUUUGCGUGAGUGAGGGUGAAGGAGGCUUGGUUGCAGAAUCUGGUGAGAUUUGGUUGUGGCGAUCAGUUGCGGAAUGGAGAUGUAAAAUCCAGAAUGAAGAGGAAAAAGAUAAUUGAGGAAGAAGAUGAGGAUGAUUGAAAAUUCUGCAGAAUGAAAGGUUAGCAGGUUUUUUCAGUUUCACAUUGCUGCAUUGGAGGCUUGGCUGCAGAAUCUGGUGAGAUCUGGUUGCGGCGUUCGGAAUGGAGAUGUAGAAUCCAGAAUGAGGAGGAAGAAGAUGAGGAUGAUUGAAAAUUCUGCAGAAUGAAAGGUUAGCAGGUUUUUUCAGUUUCACAUUGCUGCAUUGGAUGCCUACUUGCUAAUGGAUAUCCAAAUUUAAAGUGGUGACCUGGACUUAUUAAUGGAUGUUGGUUGUAUUAAUGGACAUGGUUUGGAUAUGGAUAUGAGAUGGAUUGGAUUGUAAAUUGGUUUAUGGAUUAUUGAAGGAUAUUUGAAAUGUUAAUGGAUACUUGAAUUGCUUAAUGGAUAAA